Molecule: ribosomal RNA, 720 nt
Filed under: Plesiotriton vivus
Lineage: Eukaryota; Metazoa; Mollusca; Gastropoda; Neogastropoda; Cancellariidae
Description: partial 16S ribosomal RNA
Rfam family: Bacterial large subunit ribosomal RNA (bases 1-594)
Source: RNAcentral
UUUAUCAAAAACAUGGCUCUUGAAUUAUAAAAUAUAAGGAGUCGGGCCUGCCCAGUGAAUAUUUUUAACGGCCGCGGUACCCUGACCGUGCAAAGGUAGCAUAAUAAUUUGCCCUAUAAUUGAGGGCUAGAAUGAAUGGUUUGACAAGAAUAAACCUGUCUCUAUAUAAUUUUGUAAAAUUUAAUUUUUAGGUGAAGAAGCCUAAAUUUUAUUAAAAGACAAGAAGACCCUAUCGAGCUUGAAAGAAAUUAGUAGAUAUGUAACAAUUUAUUAAAAAGUAUAACUAUUAAAUAUUUUGGUUGGGGCGACUAAGGAACAUAAAAAGCUUCUUUAAAUAGUUAAUUAUUAAUUGAUUUUGACCCAGAAAUUUUGAUUAAAAAAAUUAGUUACCGUAGGGAUAACAGCAUUAUCUUUUUUAAGAGUCCUUAUCGAAAAAAAGGUUUGUGACCUCGAUGUUGGAUCAGAAUAUCCUAAAGAUGCAGAAGUCUUUAAAGGUUGGUCUGUUCGACCAUUAAAAUUCUACGUGAUCUGAGUUCAGACCGGCGUGAGCCAGGUCAGUUUCUAUCUUUAAUUAUUUACUUAAAACUUAGUACGAAAGGACCAGUUUAUAAAUAUUAUCGCCUGUUUAUCAAAAACAUAGGAAAAAUACAUAGAAGAAAAUAUAUUUUUGUAUAUGAGCAUGCCUAAUACAUCAGACAAUCUCAUAUGGCAUAUAUGAAA